Mizuhopecten yessoensis (Yesso scallop) is the source of this 728-nucleotide long non-coding RNA. RefSeq lists it as uncharacterized. Lineage: Eukaryota; Metazoa; Mollusca; Bivalvia; Pectinida; Pectinidae. The record is from RefSeq and is a predicted model, not a curated record. The transcript has 2 exons.
CUUGUCAAUUUAUUACGAGAUCUAUUGUGAUGAAGAUGUGUUUUCUUUUGCAGUUGAAAGUAAAUAAUGCUUUCCAAAUCGGAAUGGGCUACACUCAAAACAUUAGGAAAGGUGUAAAGCUGAACCUUUCUUCAUUGGUUGAGGGCAAGAAUUUCAACCAAGGUGGUCACAAGGUCGGAAUGGGUCUUGAAUUUGAUGCCUAAAUGUUACAUGUCCAAGUGGUUAGUGAUAUAAUAUAAAACCUUUGGAUGCAAAGCAAUUCAUUCAUCAUCAGUGUUUAACCAGGAGAGGAGACACAACAUAUUAAACAUUUGCUAGUCUGGUGAGGGUCCAGUCUUCACCUCAUCUUUAUCUAGUAUUCCCAGUGUUGACACUGCCGACAGCAUAAGCAUGGCAGAGUUUGGUGCAUGCAGAGACUGAAGACGGAUUUGAUGUUCACUUUGCCACCCACUUUGAAUUGAUUGUGGAUUUCAAGAAAAUGACAUGAUCAAUCAGAUAUUGAUUUGUACUUAGAUUUAUUUCUUGUUUGCUGUUUCCAUUAGGUUACAUUCGUUGCAUAGCAAACAAGCUGUUUUCCCACUGUCCACCAAUCGAGAAACCUUCAUUCGACAUAACGCAGGUUAGAUGUGUCAGAGAAUUUGUCCCUGAGAGCUUAUCAAAACAUUUCAGUGCUGGUAAAUUAAUGUACAAAUAUGUAUCUUAAUUAAAGAAUUAUGUGAUGUGUAAAA